This 507-nucleotide ribosomal RNA is filed under the name uncultured bacterium. Its description in RNAcentral is "partial 16S ribosomal RNA". It matches the Rfam family "Bacterial small subunit ribosomal RNA", at positions 28 to 507 of the family's 1533-position model. The record is from RNAcentral.
GACGAACGCUGGCGGCGUGCCUAAUACAUGCAAGUCGAACGCAUUUUCUUUCACCGUAGCUUGCUACACCGAAAGAAAAUGAGUGGCGAACGGGUGAGUAACACGUGGGUAACCUGCCCAUCAGCGGGGGAUAACACUUGGAAACAGGUGCUAAUACCGCAUAAUUCCAUUUACUGCAUGGUAGAUGGAUGAAAGGCGCUUUUGCGUCACUGAUGGAUGGACCCGCGGUGCAUUAGCUAGUUGGUGGGGUAACGGCCUACCAAGGCUGCGAUGCAUAGCCGACCUGAGAGGGUGAUCGGCCACACUGGGACUGAGACACGGCCCAGACUCCUACGGGAGGCAGCAGUAGGGAAUCUUCGGCAAUGGACGCAAGUCUGACCGAGCAACGCCGCGUGAGUGAAGAAGGUUUUCGGAUCGUAAAACUCUGUUGUUAGAAAAGAACAAGGAUGAGAGUGGAAAGUUCAUCCCUUGACGGUAUCCAACCAGAAAGCCACGGCUAACUACGUG